Dipodomys spectabilis (banner-tailed kangaroo rat) is the source of this 759-nucleotide long non-coding RNA. RefSeq lists it as uncharacterized. Lineage: Eukaryota; Metazoa; Chordata; Mammalia; Rodentia; Heteromyidae. The transcript is spliced from 4 exons. The record is from RefSeq and is a predicted model, not a curated record.
CACCAGCCGUGCGCCCUCGCUGGGCGUCAGGGACAGGAAAAUCACUGCGGAGGCUGGGCUGCAGGAAGGUGGCUUCAGGACAAGUGAAGUUCAGUAACAGUUUGAAUACUGGUUUGGGAAUCAGAGGUACCUGAGCUCAAAUUUGCUAUUCUGCUAAUUAUCCAGAAGAAUAUCAGAUUUACAGGUGUUGGGAAAAUGGAGAACUGACAAGGAAUAGGCUGGACUUGAUCGUCAACAGCUGGAGAUUCCUAUAAUAAGUCAAACAACCAUUUCGCUUUUCCUGUCUGUGAAAUCAUCAAGUGGACGCAGCAGAGACAAGGCCUGGGAAGAUUUAUGUUUUUAAGGACCAGCAGACACGGAAUGUGGACUUGGCCCCAGAAGGAAGUGUUUUCCUGGGAUUCUGUUAGGAGCCCUCAGCGGUCUCUUCUGACUCCUCCUUCACAAGCCUGGGGCAGGUUUCCCAGCACCCCCCCCCCCCCCCCCCCGCCCUUCCCAGGGCCUGUGGGGGGUGAAAGGCAUCCCUGGGCUCCAGGGCCAGACCCCGGCUUUCUACGAGCCCCGGGUGGCCCUGUAAGGCGGCCGGCGGGCGUGUCCCAUUCUUAACCUCCCAGCCCGGCGAGGUCUGCACGAGUCCCCAGCUGACCGACGGCUGUACGUGACGAGGACUCCGCUUUUAUCUCUCCUUUGGCAGCCACAGCCCUCGGACUCCGCCCGCGUCCCAGCGCCCGGCCAGCUCCACCAGCCCUUCUGGGCGGGGUG